GCCUCUUUUGAGGAAAAACUUCAGAAAACAGAGCAGAAGUUCGAAGAAACAGAGAAAGCUAGGGAAGAAUUACUCAAUAAAGCCACAGAUGCAGAGUCAAAGAUAAAUGAACUGAAGAACACAAUGCAAAGCCUUCAAGAAAAGCUGACUAAUACGGAAGCAGAAAACCAUGUUCUUCGGCAGCAGGCUAUGAAAUCAAGACCUGAUAAUAUGCCUUUGCUUAACAUGCAUCGGAAAUCAAAUUUGGCUAACGGAAGCGUACAAUCUGAUGAACA
Long non-coding RNA from Setaria italica (foxtail millet), 275 nucleotides. RefSeq lists it as uncharacterized. The transcript has 3 exons. The record is from RefSeq and is a predicted model, not a curated record. NCBI's taxonomy places the organism in Eukaryota, Viridiplantae, Streptophyta, Magnoliopsida, Poales, Poaceae.